CAGAUUAUCUUGCGAGAUAGUGGUCACGUCACGCGUUCUUCCGGAAGUUCACAUUCAAACACGAGGAGCGAUUACGAGGGAGUUUUGUCUAUAUAUUAUGUAAAAUCUACUGUUGGGAAAAGCAGAACCUCAUCCAAAUAAAAAUAAACAAGCUGUUAAAGGCACUGUGUCCUACACAGACCCUCCAAAAUAUAACCACCCAAAACCCAAGUCAGUUGAAGAUCAACACAAACCAAAUAAAGAUGCGCAUUCUACAAACAAUAAAAAAAG
This is a long non-coding RNA of Paramisgurnus dabryanus, 270 nucleotides long. RefSeq lists it as uncharacterized. NCBI's taxonomy places the organism in Eukaryota, Metazoa, Chordata, Actinopteri, Cypriniformes, Cobitidae. The record is from RefSeq and is a predicted model, not a curated record.